This 481-nucleotide ribosomal RNA is filed under the name uncultured bacterium. RNAcentral's name for it is "partial 16S ribosomal RNA". It matches the Rfam family "Bacterial small subunit ribosomal RNA", at positions 28 to 507 of the family's 1533-position model. The record is from RNAcentral.
GAUGAACGCUGGCGGCGUGCCUAACACAUGCAAGUCGAACGGAGAUUACGGACGGAAGUUUUCGGAUGGAAGACUGUAAUUCUUAGUGGCGGACGGGUGAGUAACGCGUGGGCAACCUGCCCUAUACAGGGGGAUAGCAGCUGGAAACGGCUGGUAAGACCGCAUAAGUCGGUUAAAUCGCAUGAUUUGAUCGGGAAAUGAGCAAUCAGGUAUAGGAUGGGCCCGCGUCCGAUUAGCCAGUUGGCAGGGUAAAAGCCUACCAAAGCGACGAUCGGUAGCCGGACUGAGAGGUCGGACGGCCACAUUGGGACUGAGACACGGCCCAAACUCCUACGGGAAGCAGCAGUGGGGGAUAUUGCACAAUGGAGGAAACUCUGAUGCAGCGACGCCGCGUGAGUGAAGAAGUAUUUCGGUAUGUAAAGCUCUAUCAGCAGGGAAGAUGAUGACGGUACCUGACGAAGAAGCCCCGGCUAACUACGUG